GUUACUGAGGAGGAAGAGGAAGACGAGUUCAGAGUUACUGAGGAGGAAGAGGAAGACGAGUUUAGAGUGACAGAGGAGGAGGUUACUGAGGAGGAAGAGGAAGUGGAUGCACCAUCGAGAGCAUCCUGUCGGGCUGUAUCACAGCUUGGUACGGCAACGGCACCGCCCACAACUGCCAGAGGGGGGCGCGGUCUGCCCAACGCAUCACCGGGGGCAAACUACCUGCCCUCCAGGACACCUACACCACCUGAUGUCACAGGAAGGCCAAAAAUAUCACCAAGGACAACAGCCACCCGAGACACUGUCUGUUCACCCCGCUAUCAUCCAGAAGGCGAGGAUGCAGUGUUUGGAGUGAAGGAGGAGGAGGGAGAGAGAACUGAGAGAACUCCGGUGCGCUCUGCAGUGCGUUCCUGUCCGCUUUGCCCUAAGGUUGUGGUCGGCUUCAGUCAGCACCUGAGGCACACGCACAAUGUGAGGAACACGGAGGAGAGGAUCCUCCUUUGUAAUUGGCAGUCGGGCCGUGUCAACAUCAGGCAGGAGCCGUGCCCAGUGACAGGAUGCUCCACCCAUGCCAGCCGGCUGGACCGGCACAUGGAGUCGCACACAGAGCUCGACAGAUCGCAGAGGAGACGGGCUUUAGAGGAACUCAGGAGACGGCUGACCAUGGAGCGGCUGGCCACGUUGAGGGCGUCCAACCCUGUCGUCCCGCUGGCCACCCAUUUGGAUAUUGUGGAGUGGGAAACAAAGCAGGAAGAGGAGGACGACUCUUUAGAUUCACUGCUGUCUCCUUUGGAAGAGGAGGAGGAGGACGUGAGCUGCGGAGAUUAUUCCUGCCACUGCCAAGCGCCCAUCCUGAGGCUACGGAAAGCUUUGCAAGAGCGGGAUGAGGCCCUGACCAAGAGAAGUGCGACCAUCCAAUCCGUUAGAGAGGACAACCUGAAGCUGACCUCGGAACUGAAUAGAGCGAGGAAGAGGUAUCAGCUACUGAAAAGUCAGAAGACGACGAGUGUCAGGGCGAGGUCAGCGAACGCAAGGUCGGGGAAGACGAGGUCAGCGAAGAGGUCCAGAUUUCAGACCGAGCCGUCUCGUCCUGCGUCAGACACAGAACAAGAGGAGCUACAGCAGGACCAAGUCGUAGGUUCAGGAGCCCAGAUAGAGGAGGCCACGGCGCCCAAAUCUAGCAGCCAAACUCCCUUCCCGGGCUCUGCUCUGAGUGUGUUUAUAGAGGGGUUCAGGAAGAUCUGUGAAGGCCCCAGUCCAAACAAUAAGCUGAAGCAAAAUUGUGCCGCGAAGCUCAAGAGGGUGCAGCAAUUUUUGAAGUUCAUGGCGAAGGAUGAGAAAUAUCCAUCCACUCUCAGUUUCCUGACAGACCAGGACAACAUGAGGAGAUGGUUUCAGACCCUUCAGCAGAACAAGGCCGUCGCCACGGUCAACCACUACACCUCGACUAUCGGUGCAUUUCUCCAAUACUCAGAGGAGACCCCUCCGCCUGGCUGCCGGCUGACCAAAAGCCACUGGAAGGAGAUCAACCGGGCAAUGAAGGAGAUCAACAAGUCCGUGAAAGGAGCCGUCUCCAACAAGGAAGGCAAGGGGGUGUCUACAAAGAGCCUGCUGGAGUGCCAGUCUCUUGCCAAGGACAAGAUCCCCCAAGUGCUGAAAACCUUGGAAGAAACUAUGACACAGAAGAACCAGAACCGGUUUUACGGAUUCCUGUGUGCCUAUUUCACCUCCAUGUACGGCCACAGCCCGGGCCUUUAUAGAAACAUGAUGGUGAAGGAGGUGGAGGAGGUCCAGCGUGGCCUGUCUGGGACCUGUCUGAUCAACGUGGGAAACGCAAAACAAAUGCAAACCAGGAUCCAGAUGUCGCUGACCAAGGAGGAGUACUCUUGGUUUUCAGACUUCCUGAAAUUUAAGCACUGUCUGCCAGGGGGAAAUAAAGCCCAGUACUUCUUUUUCAAUUCCACCAACACUGAGAUCAAGAACCUGCCCGUCUACCUGAGGGAGGCGUGGAAGGAGAUGGGCCUGCCUGGAAGGCCUUCCUUCACUGACCUGCGGACUUCCAUCUUCAGUCAUGUUAAAAACGUUCUCCCGAAUGCCGACGGGGAAACGUUGGCCGACUUCGUGCGCCACGACAGCCGGAUGGAAGCCAAACGUUACUCAAUGAAUCCUUCCAAAGCCGGUAAACCAGCGCCUUCCUUGAGACGGCGUUGAAGGGAGAAGAUACCGCACCACGGGCGCCGCAGAGAACCAGCCAUCCACCUCCAGAAAGCAGAAGACGAGAGAGGACGUCUCCGAGCGGAGCACCACCCCUGAAGAGACCGAGGUGCAGUACUAGGAGUCUGGCACGUCCCCCAGGGAGGAGGAGCAGGAACGGACGGCCAGACAAACUCUAGGAAAACAAGAUAUUCAGAGACAACGCAUUAGAUUACACUUGUACACCGUUUAACACUCAAGAACAAACAGAUACUCGGGCGUGGUGGUCUCCUCCAACUGAAGGGCAUGGUGGUCUCCUCCAACUGAAGGGCAUGGUGGUCUCCUCCAACUGAAUGUCGCCGCUCGCCUCCCACUGUGUCAGGUUAUGAAGCAGCUGAGGUCCAUUUAAAGCCCCAAACAGACUCCAGGAGAAAGAAGGACGAGGAAAGAGGGGGGUUGACCUCUGACAGUCAGGUGGAAGAGGGGG
Oncorhynchus tshawytscha (Chinook salmon) is the source of this 2680-nucleotide long non-coding RNA. The record is from Ensembl. Lineage: Eukaryota; Metazoa; Chordata; Actinopteri; Salmoniformes; Salmonidae.